AUUGAACGCUGGCGGCAGGCCUAACACAUGCAAGUCGAGCGGAUGAAGGGAGCUUGCUCCUGGAUUCAGCGGCGGACGGGUGAGUAAUGCCUAGGAAUCUGCCUGGUAGUGGGGGAUAACGUCCGGAAACGGGCGCUAAUACCGCAUACGUCCUGAGGGAGAAAGUGGGGGAUCUUCGGACCUCACGCUAUCAGAUGAGCCUAGGUCGGAUUAGCUAGUUGGUGGGGUAAAGGCCUACCAAGGCGACGAUCCGUAACUGGUCUGAGAGGAUGAUCAGUCACACUGGAACUGAGACACGGUCCAAACUCCUACGGGAGGCAGCAGUGGGGAAUAUUGGACGAUGGGCGAAAGCCUGAUCCAGCCAUGCCGCGUGUGUGAAGAAGGUCUUCGGAUUGUAAAGCACUUUAAGUUGGGAGGAAGGGCAGUAAGUUAAUACCUUGCUGUUUUGACGUUACCAACAGAAUAAGCACCGGCUAACUUCGUG
Molecule: ribosomal RNA, 484 nt
Filed under: uncultured bacterium
Lineage: Bacteria
Description: partial 16S ribosomal RNA
Rfam family: Bacterial small subunit ribosomal RNA
Source: RNAcentral